This 2231-nucleotide long non-coding RNA is filed under the name Strigops habroptila (Kakapo). RNAcentral describes it as "lncRNA (ENSSHBG00005017445.1)". Lineage: Eukaryota; Metazoa; Chordata; Aves; Psittaciformes; Psittacidae. The record is from RNAcentral.
UUUUUUUUCUGUGGGGACUGAAAUAGAUUGCCCUCAUUUUGUUACAUCAGGGUCCAGUGUGUGUCCUUUUCAGCUUUUCCAAGAAACAUGUUAGACUAACUAAGCAGUGAUUUUUAUAAGCUUCGGAGGUAGCUGCCUGCCUGUUUUCAGUAAUUACUGGGUUUGACUUACUUCAUCUAAGACCUACCAGUUCUUGUGGCUUCUUCAUUGGUAGAACUGCAUCUUCAUGUCAAAAUAGCUUAGGGGGACAUGCACAUUGUGAGACUUGAGCACCACCCUGUACUUCAUAACACCUCUUGCUAAACUCAGAAGCAGAGGCCAAUAACAGGAAAUACACAUAUCAGGGUUUGGGGGUGAGGAGAAAUUAAAUCUUACACGAGUGCAAAGAACAAGACAGAUUUUUGAAUGUUAGUAUUGCACACCUAGAUGGUGCAAAUAAAAAUUCAAAAAAAGUUCACUGUUCUUGCCAUGACAUAUUGAGAUGUUCGAUAGAUUUCCGCUUUGUAAGAAACGGGAUUUUGCCAUAGCCUGUUCUCUUUGAUUGGGGUGGGGAGAGCACAGUUUUUUUCUGAACAAAAUAGAGGUGUCUCCAUCCCUCUUCCAGCCCCCCUCACAAUGAAUAUUAAUCAAUAAGAAAAAUAAAUCCUGACACUAAAAAAGAAUAAUCUUACUUAAUAAACUCUCCAAGAUGGAAAACCAGUGUUAGCACACACAAGCAAUUACGGCAUCUGCUGCAUUUCCAUCAGCUUACUGGCACCUAAACCUGAACUUUCAAAGAAUCAUUUCUUUGUUCUCUGUUUGUCAGUGUCUGCAGGGUGUUGUACUUCUACUAAGGAGUGGUGGUUUGAGAUCUAAAAUGUAUCUCAAAUGGGACCACAGAAUAAGUUAGCUGGCUCAAAACCAGAGGAUUUUGGUGAUGCCUGUCAUUAAUCAGAUUGCAGAACAUGAACAAUGUUUCUGUUAGCACUCUGUACAGAGGGAGCCAUCGCGAGGCAUGUUCUGCCAAGUGGGCUGCCUCUCAGUUGUCACUUCGGGGCUGCUGUCCCAUAGGAUAACGCAGCAGGAGAUGAAGAUUUUCCAGAGUACAGUUUGCGUUCAGGUGUUAAACUCAGAGUGAUAGCCAAAGUAAGUUUUGCACCUAAUUGCCACUGUGCUGAUGAAACUCCCACCUUAAUUUUUCAUGGACCAUCCAGAAAGGAGAAGGGACAUUGGAUACUUGUAUCUCGGUUCUGCCUAAAAAAUGUACUGUUGUGCACUGUGACAGUUUUAAACAGGGACAACAUAGACACUACUCAAAAAGUUAAGGCAUGCUGUGGGCAAGAGUUUAUUUUUGCAGUUAGAGGGGCAGCAGGACAAAAGGGACUGAUGCUAAUUGUAUACAGUGCUGAAACAUCAUGGUUGUGCAGUGGGGAGACCUGAUCUGGCAACCAUGGGUUAGUACUCAGUUCAAGGACAGACUUUCAAGUCCGUCUUUGGACUGGACAGUGUUGCUGUGUAAUCAUUAUUACUUGCUUUAUGUGCUAGGGAUGUUGUCUACCAUCUGCUUUCUGCCCAGGAUGCCUAAAUAUAUUCGUAUUCUUGCUCCUGUAUUGAUUUUUCUUGGCUGACUUAACAUGCUAAUUCCUAAUACUGGUCAGGAAAAGCCAAAGAGAUUAGAAGUUCACUUCUGUUCAGCCAGAAGGGUAGAUAUAUUUCCUUCUGCUUCUGUGGAGACAGUUAUGCUUGGCAAAGAAUAGCGAGCAAUUUCUCAGCGUAUCCCAAAUGUGAUAGAUAAGUGAGAAAUCCCUUCUAAACUUUUCUAUAAAGUUUAGAUGGGCCAAGUAGAAUGAUUUACAUAAUUUCCUCACCUCAGAAUAGGAUCCCUCCCUAUACUUUUCCUCACAAUUUUGUUUCAUUCAGCCAGCUCUGAAAAGCUGGCAGUUAGUGAGAUGCUACCUAGAUAGUAAUCACAUAUACCCAGAUUUACCUCUUUUUAAGAGGAUAAAAGACAAUAAUUUAAUGGCUGCCAGCCAGAUAAGUACCAGUUUUAUUUGAUUUUUGGUUAUACUUAGUAAAAUAAGAUUCUUAGAAUAAACAUUGUAACAGCAACCACAGUUUUCCAUUCCAAUCAUUUUGGCCUCUGAGCUCUAUAGGAGGAGAACAGGAGAAAAGGAAACAUCUCAAAAUGCCAUUGUAAAUUUAGCUUAUAGAAAAUUCACCAGCAGGAAAAGGGAAAAAAAAAAAAAAAAGAA